This is a long non-coding RNA of Notolabrus celidotus (New Zealand spotty), 1116 nucleotides long. RefSeq lists it as uncharacterized. The transcript has 2 exons. Lineage: Eukaryota; Metazoa; Chordata; Actinopteri; Labriformes; Labridae. The record is from RefSeq and is a predicted model, not a curated record.
ACCCACUUAUCUAAAACAAACUGUAUUAGAUGUGAAAUCCACACUUUAAAACAAAGCUCACCAAGUUGCGCCGAUUUUCUUUAAACUGUGGAACAGGUAGGAAUCAAGUGGGUUUCCCAUAGAGUUCAGAAGGAGCUUUCCACGCACCAGCUAAUCAAAAAAUAGCAUCACUGUAUCCGGGUAAGACAACGCAACGUUACAUUCCAAAGAAAAGGAUGCACAUGCGCAGUUGCAGACUGAUCGACGCAGAUUGGAAGACGCAGGAGCCCCGUAUCAAAACUGUGCACUCCUGCCACAACACCCUGAAUCUUAUCUGCAAGCCUGUACGCCUGAGUGUGAGAAAUGGGAUCCGUCAGCUCGCUGCUCUGGGUGAUCCACAUUUUCCCUAAUCUGGACCGUCCCGUCUUCCCUUAAAAUGGAUUAAAGCUCACUUUUACUGAAAGCAGGUCACAAGGAGCCUUCUCCAUAUUGGACGCGCCUGUUAAAUGAAACUGAGGCUCACGCUGCAGAACUCCAAGUGCCAAUUCACAUUCAACUGAACUCUUCUGUUUAAUGCUUUGAGUGCUUUAAUAUAUCUGAGAAUAACUGUGAUAAUAACACAAUAUACAUGAUCACAGCAGUUUAAUUUCAAGCAAGGUAAUACACCAAGGAAUAGGACACUGAAGAAAGAAAUACAAGGGGCUCAGGAGCAGGAAGUAGCAAUCAUUUUGUUGUAAAAAUUACAAGAUGGCUCUCACUUUCUAAAGGACAAGUUAUAGAUUACUAUUGGAAGCAGAAGCACACAAUGAGAUGUAGUGCAAUCACAAUGUUUUUUCAUCCGUUGAGACCAGGAAGAGCUCUUCAUAUAGAAAGCCACACACUGGAAAUGAGACUGAAUUAAAGAAUGCCCAAACUAUCAGCCAGCUUCAUUUGCAGAGAGCAGAAUGGUCCUUUUCACUGGCCCAAUCCCAAUUUCACCACUGAAGCGCUGAAGCCUCACAGACUUAAGUGAUGUCUGGUGUGCAGUGCAUGAGUCUGUAAGUCCUAUAAAAGGGCUAGAGAAACACCCCUGAAUGGGGCACACUAUCAUGACAUCACUUGCUGUCUGGGAAUAAAAUGGACAAUAAGAGAAAAGAA